UACAGAGGUGGCAAGCGUUGUUCGGAAUUACUGGGCGUAAAGGGCGCGUAGGCGGUCUUUUAAGUCUUGUGUGAAAUCCCUCGGCUCAACUGAGGAACUGCAUGGGAUACUGGAAGACUUGAGUUCGGGAGAGGGAAGCGGAAUUCCGGGUGUAGCGGUGAAAUGCGUAGAUAUCCGGAGGAACACCGGUGGCGAAGGCGGCUUCCUGGACCGAUCACUGACGCUGAGGCGCGAAAGCUAGGGGAGCAAACGGG
RNAcentral lists this ribosomal RNA (254 nucleotides) under uncultured bacterium. Its description in RNAcentral is "partial 16S ribosomal RNA". It matches the Rfam family "Bacterial small subunit ribosomal RNA", at positions 524 to 776 of the family's 1533-position model. The record is from RNAcentral.